ACGGACAGGUGAACUCCCGAAGUACUGCCCAUGCGGAUACAUGUCGUCCUUUGGUAUGCCAUUGGGUGGUUAGAUGGACUCGGCCUACGUGGUUUGGCUUUGUCUUCGUUUGUGGCUAACGAUUUUAAUGUUCUGGUAUGGCGCGUUUUGAUUUGCCUCUCUGCUCUGCGGGCUACUGAGGUGGUAAUAUUUGUACACCACAUGCCGCCCUCGUUUUAGUUUUUUCCAACCAUAGUGGAGCUCAUUAGUGGACAUCG
RNAcentral lists this long non-coding RNA (257 nucleotides) under Drosophila guanche. The record is from RNAcentral. Lineage: Eukaryota; Metazoa; Arthropoda; Insecta; Diptera; Drosophilidae.